RNAcentral lists this ribosomal RNA (161 nucleotides) under uncultured bacterium. RNAcentral's name for it is "partial 16S ribosomal RNA". It matches the Rfam family "Bacterial small subunit ribosomal RNA", at positions 355 to 507 of the family's 1533-position model. The record is from RNAcentral.
UGGGGAAUCUUCCGCAAUGGACGAAAGUCUGACGGAGCAACGCCGCGUGAGUGAUGAAGGUCUUCGGAUUGUAAGGCUCUGUUAAUCGGGACGAAAGAGCCUAGUGUGAAUAAUGCUAGGAAGUGACGGUACCGGAAUAGAAAGCCACGGUUAACUACGUG